CCUACGGGAUGCAGCAGUAGGGAAUCUUCGGCAAUGGACGAAAGUCUGACCGAGCAACGCCGCGUGAGUGAAGAAGGUUUUCGGAUCGUAAAACUCUGUUGUUAGAGAAGAACAAGGACGUUAGUAACUGAACGUCCCCUGACGGUAUCUAACCAGAAAGCCACGGCUAACUACGUGCCAGCAGCCGCGGUAAUACGUAGGCGGCAAGCGUUGUCCGGAUUUAUUGGGCGUAAAGCGAGCGCAGGCGGUUUCUUAAGUCUGAUGUGAAAGCCCCCGGCUCAACCGGGGAGGGUCAUUGGAAACUGGGAGUCUUGAGUACAGAAGAGGAGAGUGGAGUUCCAUGUGUAGCGGUGAAAUGCGUAGAUAUAUGGAGGAACACCAGUGGCGAAGGCGGCUCUCUGGUCUGUAACUGACGUUGAGGCUCGAAAGCGUGGGGAGCAAACAGGAUUAGAUACCCUUGUAGUC
Molecule: ribosomal RNA, 465 nt
Filed under: uncultured bacterium
Lineage: Bacteria
Description: bacterial SSU rRNA
Rfam family: Bacterial small subunit ribosomal RNA
Source: RNAcentral